Molecule: long non-coding RNA, 804 nt
Filed under: Ananas comosus (pineapple)
Lineage: Eukaryota; Viridiplantae; Streptophyta; Magnoliopsida; Poales; Bromeliaceae
Description: long non-coding RNA (ACOM_LNC006262)
Source: RNAcentral
AAAUCGAACUAUUUACCUAUCUAGCCUCUUUACAAAAAAAAUAUUCCCUAUCUAGCCUUCUUUUGAAAAAUAUUUCCCAUCUAGCCUCAUUUUCAAAGAUUAAAGAAAAAAAGAGAAAUUAAUACCUUUAAUAUAUAUUAAGGGGUUAAGUGGGGGAGAUUAUCUUUUUUUCUCUCUCCUCUCCUAUUUCUCGAGAUCCCUUCUCACUCUCUAAUUAUUGCAUAUAAUUUAUCUCAUAUCGAUUUAUUUCAAAAUAGAAAAUUUUCAUAUAGCGCAUCAACCAAUUCCAAGUUGAUUAUAAUGGUCCAGAUCCAAAACUAUUUGGAUUUCUCGUACUUUAGGUUUUAAUACAUUAAAACGUGAAAUUAUAGGCCGAAUGGGAUCAAGAUUAUUUUAAUAUAAAAAUUAAUAGGAGAGGAGAGAGAAAAAUAUAAUCUUCCCCACUUAACCCCUUAAUAUAUAUUAAAGGAAUUAAUUUCUCUUUUUUUCUCUAAUCUUUGAAAAUGAGGCUAGAUAGGAAAUAUUUUUCAAAAGGAGACUAGAUAAGAAAUAUUUUUUUGUAGAGAGGCUAGAUAGGUAAAUAGAUUGAAAAAAUCAUGAUAGCGAAAAAAAGAUACUGAUGGUAUAAAAAAAUAAAGAAUAAAAAACGAAGAAAAAUAUUUUUUCUAAAAAAAAUAAAAAAAUUAUAGAAAAAAAAGAAAAUGAUUAAAUUGCACUGUUUCAGAAAAACGUUGCACUGUUUUAAAUGAAAGUUAUACUUUUGAGAUACAAAUUACAUUUUUUGAAAAAAAAAAAAAAAAGUUG